RNAcentral lists this small RNA (868 nucleotides) under Pan troglodytes (chimpanzee). Its description in RNAcentral is "retained intron". Lineage: Eukaryota; Metazoa; Chordata; Mammalia; Primates; Hominidae. The record is from RNAcentral.
UGGUCUGGGAAGAUGUUCUACCAUGUGAGCAGGGCUCAGGGUGGCGGCAAGGGCUGGGUGGAAAGGAAGAGCAAGGCCAGGCGCCGGCGCGAGGCUCCCCUUGUCGUCCAAUAACCUGCCAGCGCCUGGCCUGGUCGCCAUCCCACUUUUCUCCGCAGAUCUCCCUAGAGCACGAAAUCCUGCUGCACCCGCGCUACUUCGGCCCCAACUUGCUCAACACGGUGAAGCAGAAGCUCUUCACCGAGGUGGAGGGGACCUGCACAGGGAAGUAUGGCUUUGUAAUUGCUGUCACCACCAUUGACAAUAUUGGUGCUGGUGUGAUCCAGCCAGGCCGAGGCUUUGUCCUUUAUCCAGUUAAGUACAAGGCCAUUGUUUUCCGGCCAUUUAAAGGGGAGGUCGUGGAUGCUGUUGUCACUCAGGUCAACAAGGUUGGACUCUUCACAGAAAUUGGGCCCAUGUCUUGCUUCAUCUCUCGACAUUCCAUCCCUUCAGAGAUGGAGUUUGAUCCUAACUCCAACCCACCAUGUUACAAGACAAUGGAUGAGGAUAUUGUGAUUCAGCAGGACGAUGAGAUCCGCUUAAAGAUUGUGGGGACCCGUGUGGACAAGAAUGACAUUUUUGCUAUUGGCUCCCUGAUGGACGAUUACUUGGGGCUUGUAAGCUGAGCCUGGUGGCCUCCUACCCUUGGUCCUACUCUAGGAAGUGUGAUUGUCACACUUAUCAUGUUGUCCAGAGGUCCAGUCUGGCUGCUGUUGUGGAGGCAAGGAAGGCAACUCAUCCCAGAAGGCAUCUGGUGCUUCUUGUAGCUUAACUACUGCCUCCUGAUUUUUCAGUAUGUGUUCUAAGUAUAAAAAGUCCUUGGUUCUCA